RNAcentral lists this transfer RNA (71 nucleotides) under Myxococcus fulvus. Its description in RNAcentral is "tRNA_Lys_CTT". It matches the Rfam family "tRNA". Rfam says of the family: Transfer RNA (tRNA) molecules are approximately 80 nucleotides in length. Their secondary structure includes four short double-helical elements and three loops (D, anti-codon, and T loops). The record is from RNAcentral. Lineage: Bacteria; Pseudomonadati; Myxococcota; Myxococcia; Myxococcales; Myxococcaceae.
GCCUCCGUAGCUCAUUGGAAGAGCAUCCGCCUCUUAAGCGGACGGCGAGGAUUCGAAUCCCUCCGGAGGUA